Molecule: transfer RNA, 68 nt
Filed under: Cetostoma regani (pink flabby whalefish)
Lineage: Eukaryota; Metazoa; Chordata; Actinopteri; Beryciformes; Cetomimidae
Also listed under: 2 other names
Description: tRNA-Tyr
Rfam family: tRNA
About the family: Transfer RNA (tRNA) molecules are approximately 80 nucleotides in length.
Source: RNAcentral
GGUAAAGUGGCUGAGAUAAGCGGUGGAUUGUAGCCCCAUAGACAGAGGUUUAAACCCUCUCUUCACCA